GACGAACGCUGGCGGCGUGCCUAAUACAUGCAAGUAGAACGCUGAAGAGAGGAGCUUGCUCUUCUUGGAUGAGUUGCGAACGGGUGAGUAACGCGUAGGUAACCUGCCUUGUAGCGGGGGAUAACUAUUGGAAACGAUAGCUAAUACCGCAUAACAAUGGAUGACACAUGUCAUUUAUUUGAAAGGGGCAAUUGCUCCACUACAAGAUGGACCUGCGUUGUAUUAGCUAGUAGGUGAGGUAAUGGCUCACCUAGGCGACGAUACAUAGCCGACCUGAGAGGGUGAUCGGCCACACUGGGACUGGGACACGGCCCAGACUCCUACGGGAGGCAGCAGUAGGGAAUCUUCGGGAAUGGGGGCAACCCUGACCGAGCAACGCCGCGUGAGGGAAGAAGGGUUUCGGAUCGUAAAGCUCUGUUGUAAGUCAAGAACGGGUGUGAGAGUGGAAAGUUCACACUGUGACGGUAGCUUACCAGAAAGGGACGGCUAACUACGUG
This 497-nucleotide ribosomal RNA is filed under the name uncultured bacterium. RNAcentral describes it as "partial 16S ribosomal RNA". It matches the Rfam family "Bacterial small subunit ribosomal RNA", at positions 28 to 507 of the family's 1533-position model. The record is from RNAcentral.